CACCCACCCCAAUAACCACUAAUACCCAUCCAACUACCAAAAAAAAAAAAAGAAAAAAAAAAAAAGAAAAAAAAAAUCAUCACCACCUUCGCGAUUUGCUCCUACUGUAGCUGCGAUCUGCUUCACUAUUGUCCCUAUGGCCGCCGGACCACCACCACCACCACCACCACCAUCACCAACAAAACUAGCCCUAAAACCUCAACACCAUGGAAACAUGUAAACCACCAACACCUAUCCAACAACUAAGUAAAAUAUCAUCACCACCACGAUCUACAUCAUUUCAGUCACGAUCUGGACAGCUAAAGGUAUGAUCUGUAGCUCAACUUCUCUGUGCAAUGGUUGUAGCUACACAACACUGCUUUACAGCGACUUUCUGCAAAAAAGGUCGCUGUACAACCGAGCAUUCAAUGUUGACAAGGUAGCUUCCUUCACAGUAAAGGAAUGGAUUUACCAGCGGUGGCGUCUUGAGCAUAAUUGUGAGCAUCUUCGCAGUGGUCACAACAGUGGUGGCGGCGUUUUCACAGCAUCUUCGUAAGAGAAGAGAUAAGUGAGGGAUAGAGAGAGAAAGGAGUAAAGGAAAUUAAUUAGGGUUUGUGAUGAAAUUUGUGUUAUUAUAUUCAAUAUUUAAAUAUGAAAUAUCUGAUUUUGUGAAUAAUGAAACCUUCACCCUAAUUUAGAAUAUUGAUUUUUAAAAGUAGGGUCGAGUCAGCCAAUAUGGG
RNAcentral lists this long non-coding RNA (719 nucleotides) under Olea europaea subsp. europaea. The record is from RNAcentral. Lineage: Eukaryota; Viridiplantae; Streptophyta; Magnoliopsida; Lamiales; Oleaceae.